AACCGGAGGAAGGUGGGGAUGACGUCAAGUCCUCAUGGCCCUUAUGGGUAGGGCUUCACACGUCAUACAAUGGUCGGUACAGAGGGUUGCCAAACCGCGAGGUGGAGCCAAUCCCUUAAAGCCGAUCGUAGUCCGGAUCGUAGUCUGCAACUCGACUACGUGAAGUCGGAAUCGCUAGUAAUCGCAGAUCAGCAUGCUGCGGUGAAUACGUUCCCGGGUCUU
Molecule: ribosomal RNA, 222 nt
Filed under: uncultured Thauera sp.
Lineage: Bacteria; Pseudomonadati; Pseudomonadota; Betaproteobacteria; Rhodocyclales; Zoogloeaceae
Description: partial 16S ribosomal RNA
Rfam family: Bacterial small subunit ribosomal RNA
Source: RNAcentral